AGUACUGGGGCGUUGCUAGCCCUCCUUAGAGAGGGCGAGGGAGAGGAGGAUGCUGUGCCUGGAAAGCGGCUCUUGAGGAGAGCUGGAAUCUCGGCAAAGCGUCCACUCCCUCCCCUCCCCUUUCCUCUCACCUCUAGUGUUCCCACCAGCCCCGGGGAGGAGACAAAGGACGUGGGAGGGCAGCAGCAUGCAGGGGGCCUGCCUUUGACGCCCAGGAGUUGAACACCAGACAGAAAAUGAAAUCUAAACAUUUACCCAGAGCCCUGGGCUAGAAAUGGGCCAACCUGACCCUGGAAAACAAACAACCCGCGUCACCGCCACACCUGCUGCAGGCCCCAGAUGCCACAGUGUAUUUCAUGGGCCUCUCUGUAAGGUGGCUAUCUGUUGUGAAGUCUGAGGGGACUGGGUCCCCUCCCAUCCCCCAGCCCCUGCUCUCUGGGAAGUCUGCUGGGUGUGCUGGGCCGGCUCCUGGACAAGCUGAAGCCGAGGACUGCAGCAACUCUUCCCAUCAUCACCCUGGCUGCUGUGGGGAAGCUGGCAGUUUUCUGGAAGACUGCUUGCUUGGAAUGCUUAGCAUCCUCCCAGGCUUCUGACUCUCCACUGGGGAUGCAGAAGGUCUGCAUUGCAGUUUAAUCCACUACUGAGAAUUCCUGUGCUUCUAGAAACCAUCCUCUCACCUCCGAGGGACUCCAUCUUGUCAGCUGCCCAGAGGAGACAAAACGGAACACUGCCCCAUGGCUCAGUGCUUUGCACAGUUGUCAGCUCCUUGGCUGGCAAGCAUCAGAUUGAUUAAAAGGAGGUUUUCUCAGACAUAAUCCUGCCCACUAGCCAGCCAAACAUGUAUGCAAAAUGAAUGGCAGUACUGGGAGGGGCUCUGUCCAGCCACCCUGGACAUGGGUGUGAGUGUGCAUGUGGGGUGUGGGUGUGUGCAUUGUGAAAGUAAAAAGGGUGUGGGGUACAGAAAGAAA
Molecule: long non-coding RNA, 968 nt
Filed under: Homo sapiens (human)
Lineage: Eukaryota; Metazoa; Chordata; Mammalia; Primates; Hominidae
Description: uncharacterized LOC105374901, transcript variant 1 (LOC105374901)
Source: RNAcentral